RNAcentral lists this ribosomal RNA (470 nucleotides) under uncultured bacterium. Its description in RNAcentral is "bacterial SSU rRNA". It matches the Rfam family "Bacterial small subunit ribosomal RNA", at positions 329 to 794 of the family's 1533-position model. The record is from RNAcentral.
UACCAGACUCCUACGGGAGGCAGCAGUGAGGAAUAUUGGUCAAUGGACGCAGGUCUGAACCAGCCAUGCCGCGUGCAGGAUGACGGCUCUAUGAGUUGUAAACUGCUUUUGUACGAGGGUAAACCCCGAUACGUGUAUCGGGUUGAAAGUAUCGUACGAAUAAGGAUCGGCUAACUACGUGCCAGCAGCCGCGGUCAUACGUAGGAUCCGAGCAUUAUCCGGAGUGACUGGGUGUAAAGAGUUGCGUAGGUGGCAUAAUAAGUAGCUAGUGAAAUCUGGUGGCUCAACCAUUCAGACUAUUAGCUAAACUGUUAAGCUCGAGACCGUUAGGGGUAACUGGAAUUUCUAGUGUAGGAGUGAAAUCCGUAGAUAUUAGAAGGAACACCAAUAGCGUAGGCAGGUUACUGGGACGGUUCUGACACUAAGGCACGAAAGCGUAGGGAGCAAACGGGAUUAGAUACCCCUGUAAU